ACUAAUAUUAUAAAGCUGAAGAGUUUUUUUUUUUGUUUGUUUGAACGCGCUAAUCUCCGAAACUAUUGGUCCGAUUUGAAUAAUUAUUUUUGUGUUGGGUAGUGCAUGUAUCGAGGAAGGCUAUAGGCUAUAAAACAUCACGCUAUGACUGAUAGAAGCCAAGCAGAGCGGGUGAAACCGCGCGGAAGUAGCUAGUAUCACAUAAAAAUACCAAAAUAUAACACUCAGAUUACAUUAAAAUAUUUUUAUUAACAAUAAUAAUAAUAACACACUUUUUUAUUUACAACUUUAAAUAUUUACAAUACACAACGUCACGUCUUUUUUAUCCUCGAAGGGGUAGGCAGAGGUGCACUAUACAAUGUACACCUACUUUUCAUUAACUACUUAAUAACUCAUUUGUGUUAUAGGUCCCAUGUAAUAGAGGGUGAGCCUAUUGCCAUAUACUGGACACAGUUGCAAGCUCCGUGCUACUACUGAGAUUUUUUUCGGAAAACAAAAAAAGAACCAGUAAUGUUUUGU
Molecule: long non-coding RNA, 519 nt
Organism: Spodoptera frugiperda (fall armyworm)
Lineage: Eukaryota; Metazoa; Arthropoda; Insecta; Lepidoptera; Noctuidae
Exons: 2
Source: RefSeq, a predicted model, not a curated record